UACAGAGGUGGCAAGCGUUGUUCGGAUUUACUGGGCGUAAAGGGUGCGUAGGCGGUUUCGUAUGUCGGAUGUGAAAGACCUCGGCUCAACCGAGAAAUUGCAUUCGAAACUGCGGAACUAGAGUACUGGAGAGGUAAGUGGAAUUCUCGGUGUAGCGGUGAAAUGCGUAGAUAUCGAGAGGAACGCCGGUGGCGAAGGCGACUUACUGGACAGAUACUGACGCUGAGGUGCGAAAGCGUGGGGAGCAAACAGG
RNAcentral lists this ribosomal RNA (253 nucleotides) under uncultured bacterium. RNAcentral's name for it is "partial 16S ribosomal RNA". It matches the Rfam family "Bacterial small subunit ribosomal RNA", at positions 524 to 776 of the family's 1533-position model. The record is from RNAcentral.